RNAcentral lists this ribosomal RNA (59 nucleotides) under Phytophthora arecae. RNAcentral's name for it is "partial 18S ribosomal RNA". The record is from RNAcentral. Lineage: Eukaryota; Oomycota; Peronosporomycetes; Peronosporales; Peronosporaceae.
UGUAAGAUAGAUAAAAAAAGUACAAGGUUUCCGUAGGUGAACCUGCGGAAGGAUCAUUA